ACCAACCCGCGUUAGGGAUUGUAGUGGAAAUCCUUUUUGUGAGGCACGAGCAAAAAGAUUGGGAACGGAAAGCCCGACCUGAA
This 83-nucleotide small RNA is filed under the name Algibacter pectinivorans. RNAcentral describes it as "Flavo-1 RNA". It matches the Rfam family "Flavo-1 RNA". Lineage: Bacteria; Pseudomonadati; Bacteroidota; Flavobacteriia; Flavobacteriales; Flavobacteriaceae. The record is from RNAcentral.